RNAcentral lists this transfer RNA (63 nucleotides) under Urocitellus parryii (Arctic ground squirrel). RNAcentral describes it as "Spermophilus parryii (Arctic ground squirrel) tRNA". It matches the Rfam family "tRNA". From Rfam's summary of the family: Transfer RNA (tRNA) molecules are approximately 80 nucleotides in length. Their secondary structure includes four short double-helical elements and three loops (D, anti-codon, and T loops). Further hydrogen bonds mediate the characteristic L-shaped molecular structure. tRNAs have two regions of fundamental functional importance: the anti-codon, which is responsible for specific mRNA codon recognition, and the 3' end, to which the tRNAs corresponding amino acid is attached (by aminoacyl-tRNA synthetases). tRNAs cope with the degeneracy of the genetic code in two manners: having more than one tRNA (with a specific anti-codon) for a particular amino acid; and 'wobble' base-pairing, i.e. permitting non-standard base-pairing at the 3rd anti-codon position. Lineage: Eukaryota; Metazoa; Chordata; Mammalia; Rodentia; Sciuridae. RNAcentral also lists the same sequence under 2 other names. The record is from Rfam by way of RNAcentral.
UGGGAUGUAGCUCAGUGGGAGAGUGCUUGCCUGGUAUGCAUGAAGUCCUAGGCUCCAUCUCAA